UACGUAGGGGGCAAGCGUUGUCCGGAUUUAUUGGGCGUAAAAGGCUUGUAGGUGGCCACGCCAAGUCGGAUGUGAAAUCUCCCGGCUCAACUGGGAGGGGUCAUUCGAUACUGGCGGGCUCGAGGCCGGUAGGGGGAAGUGGAAUUCCCGGUGUAGUGGUGGAAUGCGUAGAUAUCGGGAGGAACACCAGUGGCGAAGGCGGCUUCCUGGACCGGUAUUGACGCUGAGGUGCGAAAGCGUGGGGAGCAAACAGG
RNAcentral lists this ribosomal RNA (254 nucleotides) under uncultured bacterium. Its description in RNAcentral is "partial 16S ribosomal RNA". It matches the Rfam family "Bacterial small subunit ribosomal RNA", at positions 524 to 776 of the family's 1533-position model. The record is from RNAcentral.